This 240-nucleotide unclassified non-coding RNA is filed under the name soil metagenome. RNAcentral describes it as "partial contains 5.8S ribosomal RNA, internal transcribed spacer 2, and large subunit ribosomal RNA". The record is from RNAcentral.
AACCUAGCACACCUGCGGUGUGUACCUGCGGAAGGAUCAUUAAAAAAAUCCAUUUUGCCCGCGGACCUUGCGUCCAAGGGGCAAAAAACCCACACUGUGUGCACCGUUAUCGUUUCUUUGGCAGGGGCUUGGGGUUGGUUUUUUCCGCCUCAACUUUUCCUCCGGCUCUAUCUCUUUUUUUUUGGGACAGCUGGACAUGGGAAGCAGUUACCCUGCCAAGUAACCCUUUUAAAUCACGCU